Molecule: ribosomal RNA, 194 nt
Filed under: uncultured Thiobacillus sp.
Lineage: Bacteria; Pseudomonadati; Pseudomonadota; Betaproteobacteria; Nitrosomonadales; Thiobacillaceae
Description: partial 16S ribosomal RNA
Rfam family: Bacterial small subunit ribosomal RNA
Source: RNAcentral
CCUACGGGAGGCGCCGGUGGGGAAUUUUGGGCGAUGGAGGCAACCGUGAUCCUCCCUCUCCCCGUGAGUGAAAAAUGACUUCCGGUUGUAAAGCUCUUUCAGCUGGAGUGAAACGGUUCGCUCUAACAUAGCGAGCGGAUGACGGUACCACCAGAUGAAGCACCGGCUAAAUAGCUGCCACCAGCCGCAGUAAU